AAACCAACAGGGAUUGCCUCAGUAGCGGCGAGUGAAGCGGCAAGAGCUCAGAUUUGAAAUCGUGUUUCGGCACGAGUUGUAGAGUGUAGGCUGGAGUCUCUGUGGAGCGCGGUGUCCAAGUCCCUUGGAACAGGGUGCCUGAGAGGGUGAGAGCCCCGUGGGGUGCUGCGCGAAGCUUUGAGGCCCUGCUGACGAGUCGAGUUGUUUGGGAAUGCAGCUCUAAGCGGGUGGUAAAUUCCAUCUAAGGCUAAAUAUUGGCGAGAGACCGAUAGCGAACAAGUACUGUGAAGGAAAGAUGAAAAGCACUUUGAAAAGAGAGUGAAACAGCACGUGAAAUUGUUGAAAGGGAAGGGUAUUGGGCCCGACAUGGGGAGUGCGCACCGCUGUCUCUUGUAGGCGGCGCUCUGGGCGCUCUCUGGGCCAGCAUCGGUUCUUGCUGCGAGAGAAGUGGUGCCGGAAAGUGGCUCUUCGGAGUGUUAUAGCCGGUGCCGGAUGUCGCGUGCGGGGACCGAGGGCUGCGACAU
This 524-nucleotide ribosomal RNA is filed under the name Pichia ethanolica. RNAcentral describes it as "[Candida] ethanolica partial large subunit ribosomal RNA". It matches the Rfam family "Eukaryotic large subunit ribosomal RNA", at positions 62 to 603 of the family's 3401-position model. The record is from RNAcentral. Lineage: Eukaryota; Fungi; Ascomycota; Pichiomycetes; Pichiales; Pichiaceae.